Molecule: long non-coding RNA, 1086 nt
Filed under: Homo sapiens (human)
Lineage: Eukaryota; Metazoa; Chordata; Mammalia; Primates; Hominidae
Description: HSALNT0066454
Source: RNAcentral
AAACCUCUUCCACAUUCAGAAGAAAAGGUCAUGAAAAUCUGUGCUUGAGGAUCUCACUCACACCUCACCUGUGUCCCCAAAGCCUUUCAACAAGAACUCUUGCCAUGCCGGCUGUUCAUUGCUUCAGGCCCUGCCUUAUCCUACGUUGAUUGGCUUAAGAAGCAGCAUGUUCACAACAUGGAGAAACCCCGUCUCUACUGAAAAUACAAAAUUAGCCGGGCAUGGUGGCGGGUGCCUGUAAUCCCAGCUACUUGAGAGGCUGAGGCAGGAGAAUCGCUUGAACCCAGGAGGCGGAGAUUGAGGUGAGCCGAGAUCGUGUCACUGCACUGCAGCCUGGAUAACAAGAGCGAGACUCCGUCUCAGAAAAAAAAAGCAGCAGCAGCAGCAUGGAGCCUCAAAAGUUCCGGAGAAAUCAUCCAUAAUUAGCCACACAGUUAGUCCAGCUCUGAGCCUGGGGCUGAGACAUUUGCCACUUCCUGUCCCAUCAGUGCUCCUAUAAGCAUGUCACUGCCCAGCUCCACAGCUCAGACCCCACCACAGUGGAGUGGAACUGGAUAAGUGAGCAGGAGAGUAGAGACAAGAGCCCUGGGGUGAAUGUGAUCUCCACGGUCUCUCACUCCAGUUCCAGUUCUGCUGCUAUGUCCAUGUGACCUUGGAAAAAUACCUCUGCAUCUGGUCCUCCUGGCUAAAAGGAAGACAACUGUGGAACAGUUGCAACAGCUAUGGGAAGAUGUGUUAGAGUGUCAACAGAUGGCUUGGCUCUUUUAGUCCCAGUACCAAAAUCUCAAGGAAGAAGCAAUUGUCUCAGAGUCUUUAUCCCUGGUCCAGCAACUGUAGCUAGAGGGUCAGAAUUACACGGUGCAUGGCUGCUUCCAGAGUACCUCCCAGAGUAACUACAGGAGGCAGAGGGUAGUUCAAGAAAAGCUUGGAAAUGCUCAGAGGAAACAUCGAUUCCAUUACACAGAUAUGAAUUAAUUUAAUACAUUAGCCCCAUUUAUUCAUCAAAUACUUAUUUAAUGCUACUGUAUUCUAGGCCCUGUUUUAGAUAAUAGAAAUAUAGCAGUGAACACAAUAAACACAGAAGAU